UCCGUAGGUGGCAAGCGUUGUCCGGAUUUAUUGGGUUUAAAGGGUGCGUAGGCGGCCCUGUAAGUCAGUGCUGAAAUAUCCCAGCUUAACUGGGAGGGUGGCAUUGAUACUGCGGGGCUAGAGUACAGAUGAGGUAGGCGGAAUUGACGGUGUAGCGGUGAAAUGCUUAGAUAUCGUCAAGAACACCUAUAGCGAAGGCAGCUUACUAGGCUGUAACUGACGCUGAGGCACGAAAGUGUGGGGAUCAAACAGG
RNAcentral lists this ribosomal RNA (253 nucleotides) under uncultured bacterium. RNAcentral's name for it is "partial 16S ribosomal RNA". It matches the Rfam family "Bacterial small subunit ribosomal RNA", at positions 524 to 776 of the family's 1533-position model. The record is from RNAcentral.